Molecule: transfer RNA, 72 nt
Filed under: Acidimicrobiia bacterium
Lineage: Bacteria; Bacillati; Actinomycetota; Acidimicrobiia
Description: tRNA-Pro
Rfam family: tRNA
About the family: Transfer RNA (tRNA) molecules are approximately 80 nucleotides in length.
Source: RNAcentral
CGGGGAGUGGCGCAGUGGUAGCGCUCCAGCUUUGGGAGCUGGAGGUCGGGGGUUCGAGUCCCCCCUCCCCGA